GCCUCCGUAGCUCAGCUGGUAGAGCAGCUGACUCUUAAUCAGUUGGUCGUAGGUUCGAAUCCUACCGGGGGUA
This 73-nucleotide transfer RNA is filed under the name Bacillota bacterium. RNAcentral's name for it is "tRNA-Lys". It matches the Rfam family "tRNA". Rfam says of the family: Transfer RNA (tRNA) molecules are approximately 80 nucleotides in length. Lineage: Bacteria; Bacillati; Bacillota. The record is from RNAcentral.